This 103-nucleotide microRNA precursor is filed under the name Paramuricea clavata. The record is from RNAcentral. Lineage: Eukaryota; Metazoa; Cnidaria; Anthozoa; Malacalcyonacea; Plexauridae.
UCAAAGUUACCGGAUAUGACAUCAAAUCGGGAAUUUUAUACGCUAGAAACAAAAGAAAUCUAAUUUGCAAUUCCCGGUUUGAUGUCAUAUCCGGUAAGUUUGA